AAAGGGGAAGAGUCCUAAUUUUGGAAGGAACAAGUACCCCUUCUUUACAAUGUGGGGAUUAUAAAAUGGUUUAGUGGCAAUGCAAAUAAAAUAGAGAGUGGAUGCCCUUUUCAUCAAGAAACGUCUGCGCUACUUUCCCCUUUGUUAUCUCUUCUAGUCUUGUCUCCUUUGGCAAGCACCACUAGUUAGUAGAAAGGUCUAAUUAGGGGUAGUGCCCUAAUGCUAGCCAAACAAGAUCAAAGUA
This 244-nucleotide long non-coding RNA is filed under the name Elaeis guineensis (African oil palm). RNAcentral describes it as "long non-coding RNA (EGUI_LNC012243)". The record is from RNAcentral. Lineage: Eukaryota; Viridiplantae; Streptophyta; Magnoliopsida; Arecales; Arecaceae.